UCGAGCGGCAGCACAGGUACUUGUACCGGGUGGCGAGCGGCGGACGGGUGAGUAAUGCCUAGGAAUCUGCCUGGUAGUGGGGGAUAACGCUCGGAAACGGACGCUAAUACCGCAUACGUCCUACGGGAGAAAGCAGGGGACCUUCGGGCCUUGCGCUAUCAGAUGAGCCUAGGUCGGAUUAGCUAGUUGGUGAGGUAAAGGCUCACCAAGGCGACGAUCCGUAACUGGUCUGAGAGGAUGAUCAGUCACACUGGAACUGAGACACGGUCCAGACUCCUACGGGAGGCAGCAGUGGGGAAUAUUGGACAAUGGGCGAAAGCCUGAUCCAGCCAUGCCGCGUGUGUGAAGAAGGUCUUCGGAUUGUAAAGCACUUUAAGUUGGGAGGAAGGGUCGUUACCUAAUACGUGACGAUUUUGACGUUACCGACAGAAUAAGCACCGGCUAACUCUGUGCCAGCAGCCGCGGUAAUACAGAGGGUGCAAGCGUUAAUCGGAAUUACUGGGCGUAAAGCGCGCGUAGGUGGUUCGUUAAGUUGGAUGUGAAAUCCCCGGGCUCAACCUGGGAACUGCAUCCAAAACUGGCGAGCUAGAGUAGGGCAGAGGGUGGUGGAAUUUCCUGUGU
This 621-nucleotide ribosomal RNA is filed under the name Pseudomonas cichorii. Its description in RNAcentral is "bacterial SSU rRNA". It matches the Rfam family "Bacterial small subunit ribosomal RNA", at positions 62 to 676 of the family's 1533-position model. The record is from RNAcentral. Lineage: Bacteria; Pseudomonadati; Pseudomonadota; Gammaproteobacteria; Pseudomonadales; Pseudomonadaceae.